AGAUUGAACGCUGGCGGCAGGCCUAACACAUGCAAGUCGAGCGGCAGCACGGGUACUUGUACCUGGUGGCGAGCGGCGGACGGGUGAGUAAUGCCUAGGAAUCUGCCUGGUAGUGGGGGAUAACGCUCGGAAACGGACGCUAAUACCGCAUACGUCCUACGGGAGAAAGCAGGGGACCUUCGGGCCUUGCGCUAUCAGAUGAGCCUAGGUCGGAUUAGCUAGUUGGUGGGGUAAUGGCUCACCAAGGCGACGAUCCGUAACUGGUCUGAGAGGAUGAUCAGUCACACUGGAACUGAGACACGGUCCAGACUCCUAGGGGAGCAGCAGUGGGGAAUA
This 336-nucleotide ribosomal RNA is filed under the name uncultured soil bacterium. Its description in RNAcentral is "bacterial SSU rRNA". It matches the Rfam family "Bacterial small subunit ribosomal RNA", at positions 26 to 363 of the family's 1533-position model. The record is from RNAcentral.